Molecule: ribosomal RNA, 253 nt
Filed under: uncultured bacterium
Lineage: Bacteria
Description: partial 16S ribosomal RNA
Rfam family: Bacterial small subunit ribosomal RNA
Source: RNAcentral
GACGGAAGGUGCAAGCGUUGCUCGGAAUCAUUGGGCGUAAAGCGCGCGUAGGCGGCCCCGUAAGUCCGCUGUGAAAGUCAAAGGCUCAACCUUUGAAAGCCGGUGGAUACUGUGGGGCUAGAGUCCGGAAGAGGCGAGUGGAAUUCCUGGUGUAGCGGUGGAAUGCGCAGAUAUCAGGAGGAACACCAAUAGCGAAGGCAGCUCGCUGGGACGGUACUGACGCUAAGGCGCGAAAGCGUGGGGAGCGAACAGG